GAUGAACGCUAGCGGCGUGCCUAAUACAUGCAAGUCGAGCGAACGGACGAGAAGCUUGCUUCUCUGAUGUUAGCGGCGGACGGGUGAGUAACACGUGGAUAACCUACCUAUAAGACUGGGAUAACUUCGGGAAACCGGAGCUAAUACCGGAUGAUAUUUUGAACCGCAUGGUUCAAAAGUGAAAGACGGUCUUGCUGUCACUUAUAGAUGGAUCCGCGCUGCAUUAGCUAGUUGGCAAGGUAACGGCUUACCAAGGCAACGAUGCAUAGCCGACCUGAGAGGGUGAUCGGCCACACUGGAACUGAGACACGGUCCAGACUCCUACGGGAGGCAGCAGUAGGGAAUCUUCCGCAAUGGGCGAAAGCCUGACGGAGCAACGCCGCGUGAGUGAUGAAGGUCUUCGGAUCGUAAAACUCUGUUAUUAGGGAAGAACAUAUGUGUAAGUAACUGUGCACAUCUUGACGGUACCUAAUCAGAAAGCCACGGCUAACUACGUG
Molecule: ribosomal RNA, 497 nt
Filed under: uncultured bacterium
Lineage: Bacteria
Description: partial 16S ribosomal RNA
Rfam family: Bacterial small subunit ribosomal RNA
Source: RNAcentral